ACCCUCAACACACGAAAGAAAGAUCUGAAAGUUAGGGUUUUGCUCUGAUUUUGUGAGAAGAAGAAAAAAGAAAGAAGAAGAAGAUGUUUCUCGGAGGUAUGCCUCGAAAGCCAGACAAAUCAGCUGCACUGAAGCAGCUUCUAAAUCAUGGACUUAUGUUUGCAGGAUUUUGUGGUGUUGUUCGUGUCACUCCUUAUAUCCUCCAUUACCUCUACGCUGAAAACGAACAACUCACACUCGAUAUCGCUAUCUAGUUUCUUACUUUUCAGUGGGUUUGGUUUCUAGAGUAUACAAGGAUGCAGGAAUAGAGGAGCUUUUGGGGGCCUUCAUGAGGGGAUCUACAACGAAUUUGUUUCAAGUUUUCUUAGAUUCAAUUUUUGUUGUCUCUUUAAACUAAGGAACUCCUGCUAUAUGUGUUUUAUAAUAACUGAAGUUUUUUUUAUCCUGUUCCUGUAUGGUUUUUCAUUCGACGACAGUACCUAAUUAAUUCUAUGAAAAAUUUUCGGCAGAGCAUUACUCCAUGGAAAUAAUGUUGUAGUAUUUUGUG
Papaver somniferum (opium poppy) is the source of this 547-nucleotide long non-coding RNA. RefSeq lists it as uncharacterized. The record is from RefSeq and is a predicted model, not a curated record. NCBI's taxonomy places the organism in Eukaryota, Viridiplantae, Streptophyta, Magnoliopsida, Ranunculales, Papaveraceae. The transcript has 2 exons.